AUACAGAGGUCCCAAGCGUUGUUCGGAUUCACUGGGCGUAAAGGGUGCGUAGGUGGUGAGGUAAGUCGGAUGUGAAAGCUCCGAGCUCAACUCGGAAAUGGCAUUGGAAACUACCUUGCUGGAGGGUUUGAGGGGGGACUGGAAUACUUGGUGUAGCAGUGAAAUGCGUAGAUAUCAAGUAGAACACCAGUGGCGAAGGCGAGUCCCUGGAAAACACCUGACACUGAGGCACGAAAGCUAGGGGAGCAAACAGGA
RNAcentral lists this ribosomal RNA (255 nucleotides) under uncultured prokaryote. Its description in RNAcentral is "partial 16S ribosomal RNA". It matches the Rfam family "Bacterial small subunit ribosomal RNA", at positions 523 to 777 of the family's 1533-position model. The record is from RNAcentral.